GCCAUCAUGGCUCAGUGGUUGAGCAUCAACCUAUGAACCAGGAGGUCAAGGUUCGAUUCCCUGUCAGGGCA
Molecule: transfer RNA, 71 nt
Filed under: Myotis davidii
Lineage: Eukaryota; Metazoa; Chordata; Mammalia; Chiroptera; Vespertilionidae
Rfam family: tRNA
About the family: Transfer RNA (tRNA) molecules are approximately 80 nucleotides in length. Their secondary structure includes four short double-helical elements and three loops (D, anti-codon, and T loops). Further hydrogen bonds mediate the characteristic L-shaped molecular structure. tRNAs have two regions of fundamental functional importance: the anti-codon, which is responsible for specific mRNA codon recognition, and the 3' end, to which the tRNAs corresponding amino acid is attached (by aminoacyl-tRNA synthetases). tRNAs cope with the degeneracy of the genetic code in two manners: having more than one tRNA (with a specific anti-codon) for a particular amino acid; and 'wobble' base-pairing, i.e. permitting non-standard base-pairing at the 3rd anti-codon position.
Source: Rfam by way of RNAcentral